Molecule: ribosomal RNA, 484 nt
Filed under: uncultured bacterium
Lineage: Bacteria
Description: partial 16S ribosomal RNA
Rfam family: Bacterial small subunit ribosomal RNA
Source: RNAcentral
AUUGAACGCUGGCGGCAGGCCUAACACAUGCAAGUCGAGCGGAUGAAGGGAGCUUGCUCCUGGAUUCAGCGGCGGACGGGUGAGUAAUGCCCAGGAAUCUGCCUGGUAGUGGGGGAUAACGUCCGGAAACGGGCGCUAAUACCGCAUACGUCCUGAGGGAGAAAGUGGGGGAUCUUCGGACCUCACGCUAUCAGAUGAGCCUAGGUCGGAUUAGCUAGUUGGUGGGGUAAAGGCCUACCAAGGCGACGAUCCGUAACUGGUCUGAGAGGAUGAUCAGUCACAUUGGAACGUAGCCACGGUCCAGACUCCUACGGGAGGCAGCAGUGGGGAAUAUUGGGCAGUGGUCGGAAGCCUUGUCCAGCCAUGCCGCGUGUGUGACGACGGUCUUCGGAUUGUAAAGCACUUUAAGUUGGGAGGAAGGGCAGUAAGUUAAUACCUUGCUGUAUUGACGUUACCAACAGAAUAAGCACCGGCUAACUUCGUG